Molecule: small nucleolar RNA, 87 nt
Organism: Lycium barbarum (goji berry)
Lineage: Eukaryota; Viridiplantae; Streptophyta; Magnoliopsida; Solanales; Solanaceae
Product: small nucleolar RNA R11/Z151
Exons: 1
Source: RefSeq, a predicted model, not a curated record
UGGCUUAUGAUGAUAAACUAAAAUUAUCUUAGCGGAUUUCAGUGAGAUUAAUUUUCAAUGAUCUGAAUGUUACACACGCUGAAGCCU